UUUUGAUGUCUAGUUUCUUGAGUUCUUUAUGUUUGGGAAAUCAGCCCUCUUUCAGAUGUGGGGAUGGUGAAGAUCUUUUCUCAUUCUGUAGGCUGUAGGACGUCAUCUUG
Molecule: non-coding RNA, 110 nt
Organism: Peromyscus maniculatus bairdii (prairie deer mouse)
Lineage: Eukaryota; Metazoa; Chordata; Mammalia; Rodentia; Cricetidae
Source: RefSeq, a predicted model, not a curated record